Molecule: long non-coding RNA, 556 nt
Organism: Microtus ochrogaster (prairie vole)
Lineage: Eukaryota; Metazoa; Chordata; Mammalia; Rodentia; Cricetidae
Exons: 3
Source: RefSeq, a predicted model, not a curated record
GUGAAUGAUGGCCCCACAAUAGGGAGAAGGGGGAAGACUGGGAAGGCCCACAUGGACUCUUGCUGGACCCUGGAGAAUAAGGAACUGAGGUGCAGAGUGAACCCAGAAAUGAGGAAGUGGACUUAAGCGAACGAUCUGGAUACUUAGAAUAUCAUUCUUCCAUUUACGUAGCUGGUGAAGGGCCAACAAGAAAGACCACACGCCAAGCCCUUCAUUCUGGGGACUGCUCUUCUCAGAAAGGCAAAGAAAUAGCACGGCCAAGCAUCAAGAAAUGGAGACUGGAUAUUGAGGACUAGCUCCUGAGUCUGUACAGUCCUGCCCCGCCAGCCCAGAAGAACACACGGGAUGAGGAACACCAGAAGCCUCCUGAGAAGCUGCAGUGCUGAGAAGAGUCUGAUUUGGGAAGAGCAUCGAGUUCCCAGCCUGGUGACCCUGAACAAGCCCGCGCUUCCCUGGUCCUUGAUUUUCUCUCCACCGAUCCUCUGACUGCUUUUGUGCCUCAUGCACUCCAGCCUAUGACUAACACCUCCUUGGGCUGUGCAUCUGAAGACACCCU